RNAcentral lists this unclassified non-coding RNA (429 nucleotides) under soil metagenome. RNAcentral's name for it is "partial contains 5.8S ribosomal RNA, internal transcribed spacer 2, and large subunit ribosomal RNA". The stretch from base 1 to 120 matches the Rfam family "5.8S ribosomal RNA", at positions 35 to 154 of the family's 154-position model. The record is from RNAcentral.
GAUGAAGAACGCAGCGAAAUGCGAUACGUAAUGUGAAUUGCAGAAUUCAGUGAAUCAUCGAAUCUUUGAACGCAUAUUGCGCUCUCUGGUAUUCCGGAGAGCAUGCUUGUUUGAGUAUCAGUAAACACCUCAACUCCCUUUUCUUUUUUGAAAUGGGAGCUGGACUUGAGUGAUCCCAACGCUUUUCUCACCGGAAAGUGGCGGUUACUUGAAAUGCAGGUGCAGCUGGACUUUUCUCUGAGCUAUAAGCAUAUCUAUUUAGUCUGCCUAAAAACAGAUUAUUACCUUUGCUGCAGCUAACAUAAAGGAGAUUAGUUCUUGUGCUGACUGAUGCAGGAUUCACAGAGACAGCUUCGGCUGACUUUGUAAACUCGAUCUCAAAUCAAGUAAGACUACCCGCUGAACUUAAGCAUAUCAAUAAGCGGAGGA